GUGUCGUGUGCGCCCGGGGAUGCAGCGUGCUGGCGUGGACGCGGUCAGGGCCCCUGUGAGGGCCUGGCACGCGCGCUCCGAGGCAAACCUGUUCCCUGCGGGGCGGACAUGUGGCUGUCGGAGAGGGUGGUGGCUCUUUGGGGGCGCCCAGGGGGUAGGCGAGGAAUUCUGCCGCCGAUGCGAAUGGGGCCGCCAGAGCGAGCCUUCCUCUGUCAGCACCGCAGCCUGGCUGCGCCAUUUUUGCUGCCCACGUUUUAGGGCUCCGCCAUCUUAUCCGUUUCCAGGGGGGUUGGGGAGUUGCUUGGGACGUUGAGUUUUUCCUUCUCAUGUUUUCCACCUCUGUGUUAGCUACACCUACUGUCUUUGGGAAAUCGCUCCUGUGUUUUUCGGUUCCACGUGGCUGGCAUUUUUGUGCAACGUAGAACAGAGACUAUGGGUGGAAGUGUAAGGGAGCGGUUUCCUAAGGUAGAGAAAGGCCAGGAAUGAAUGCUUGGCCAUGAUGACGAAGCAGAAUCCAGCUAACUAAACCCUCUCCACGCAUCUGGUUCUGUAAACAGAGUUUUGCAGCCACAACCGUGCCUGUUCUCACUCCGGUCUGUCCUGCCAAGCACGGACCGGAAGAGCUAGGCCACAAAAGCUUUGUGAAACCCUUCUUGGGGGCUGAGACUCCAGAGGGCGAUCUCCUCUGAGCCUGCCGGGGUAAUACACCUGAGUUCUCCAACUCUCCUAGUGCUCGCUUGGUUUCUCCUAGAGCUGCUGGAGCUGAUACGCUGCCGCCAUGGAGCUCCUGGCAGCUGCCGAAAUAUUUCUGGAGGCCCCAGUGAGAUUCCAACCAUUCUGGCCUCUUGAGCCACCAGAGCCAGGGCGAGGCCGCGCGGGGGUUGGGGGAGCCCAAGGAGCGAACGAGGUGACUGUGCCACCUGAUGGUAUCCCGGGUCCUCCUUCGUGAGUGGUGUUCCUUACUUCUGGCCAGCCCAACCCCGACGGGACUCGGCGGACGGAAGGCGUCCAGACAAGGAACUCCCAUGGAAUAGGUUUGAGGACAGCCCCAUGUAGACCCGUGACGCCGGAUGCGAGGACAUCUUGGUGUCGCCAUCGGGAAGGCUGUGGGCGGUUGUACCUCCUGCUGGAGUCUGUGUUCCAGUCUGAGAGCUGCUAGCUUGGCCUCUGUCCCUGAAGCAGGGGGUUCUUCCAGGAGUCCAUCAGCCUGGCCGUCCUCUCUGUGAGCUCAGAAGAGACUGCCCCCGAGAUCGAUGCCAUGGUGUGUGUCUAGAUUCUGAUGCUGUGAGUGUAAUGAAGCCAGAUCAGAGAGCCUGUUCUCAGCUAGGCGGCCGUUCCUCCAGAAGUUUGGCAGCCCCACCAGCCCCCUCGCUCCCGGGGGGGGCCUUGCCCCUUCAGCCUCCGCGCUGCUCUCCGCACAGAGCUGCCGUGGCCGUGGCUGAGCGAGCCCUGGGUGGGGCGAGCAACCUCUUCGACACACACAGCGCUCCUGGCCAUGGCGCAGCGCUUCCGGCAGAACCGCAGUGAACUCAUGACCACCUGGACCUGUGGGUCUAUGACGGGGGGAGGGGGGGCCCAGCCCUGUCCCUGGAUUCCGGGGAGCAGAUGCUGCGGGCGACCUGACCGGCGACACUGUCUUCAGCUACUGCUGCAAGGCUCUGCAAGACGCUGCUGGCCUGGCGCCAGCGCUGGAAGUCCUUCCUGCACUUGGAGACCACUGAGCCGCCCUCUGGCCCUGGAUCGCCAUGGAGGAGGGCUUCCAACUGGUGUGUGAGCUGGGCACGCUGGACUGGAUCUACCACGAGCCAAGCCCAAGUGCCUGGCUCCCAAAGACAUGCCUGUGGCGGUGCCUACUGACGGCCGCGCCCUCGGAGCUGUCCCUCUCCCUGGUCAGCCUGCUGGUCAAGGGCAUGACGGUGCUGAAGAUCCAGACCAUGGCCGCCAAGCUCCUGCUGGGGCCCAACCCGAUGAACACAAAUCGUGGGCUGGCUGCUGAGCCGCGGUGUGUCCAGGGAGCGGGUGGACCGGUGAACCACCAGGGUCCUCCUGGAGCUGCCCAUCAAAGGGGCCAAGCACAGCCGGGGCUGAGGCCCCCCACGUGCUGGUGGAGGAGCAGCCCCUGCCUCCCCGGUCCUCUGACCAGGCCUGCAGGGAGGAGCUGCAGUGCACCAGGACUACGCACCCCACAAUCCAGGCCACUUUCUGCUUGGUGCUGGGAGUGGAGCAGGGGCCCAUGUCGGAGAGACACAAAGUCUUGGCCAAAGCGCCUCCUGAUCGUCCCCAGGAUAGACAGAGGGACAGCACCCCCAGCUCCAGCCAUCUCCUGCCAGGCCAGACCCUGACCACGCAUCCUGAAAACCUCGGAGAGGGUCCUUGCCCCCGCCGCCGUGGGCAUCACUGGCCUGAGCUGGUGGAGAGCAGCCAGUUGGCUGGCGUUGCUGGUUGAGGGGAGAGAGUCCGUUAAAUAUUUCAGUCUGUUACACCUUAGCCUGAUAAGCGGGGUGGGUGGGCACCCACCGUUGUGCCACACGGGCCCCCAACGCACUACAGGCCAAGCUUGAGACCCCGCAUCCCACCCCGCAAAAGCACCUUCAAGUUUGUGCCCUUGCCCUUGAGGUUUUUUCUUUAACGCGGUGGCUGUACCUGAUACUUGACUUUAGGCGUGUGCGGCGCUUGGGUUUAGUGUCCUCACUACUGCUUUUGUGAUGGUUUUUCUCUAAGUUGUUUUUUUUUGUUUGUUUUUUUUGCAAUGCCCUUUUCUUGAAAUGGAAUUUUUUUGCCUUUUGCUUUCCUGGGAAAAGGGCAGCCAGUCCCUUCCAGUUUCUCUCGCUGCACGCGUGGCUGGAGUGUCUGCAUCACCAGAGUUCCAGCAUUGUGAGGAUGGACAGCCGUGGCAGGUGGUGCCGGACACCAUUAAAGAGCCCAUGUGCU
RNAcentral lists this long non-coding RNA (2931 nucleotides) under Sus scrofa (pig). RNAcentral describes it as "lncRNA (ENSSSCG00065077207.1)". Lineage: Eukaryota; Metazoa; Chordata; Mammalia; Artiodactyla; Suidae. The record is from RNAcentral.